GAGGAUAGAGCUCAAUGGUAUAGUGCAUGCUUAGCAUGCAGGAGGUCCUGGGUUCAAUCCCCAGUGCCUCCA
Camelus ferus (Wild Bactrian camel) is the source of this 72-nucleotide transfer RNA. It matches the Rfam family "tRNA". From Rfam's summary of the family: Transfer RNA (tRNA) molecules are approximately 80 nucleotides in length. Lineage: Eukaryota; Metazoa; Chordata; Mammalia; Artiodactyla; Camelidae. The record is from Rfam.